RNAcentral lists this ribosomal RNA (676 nucleotides) under soil bacterium Cipr-S3N-M1LLLSSL-3. RNAcentral's name for it is "bacterial SSU rRNA". It matches the Rfam family "Bacterial small subunit ribosomal RNA", at positions 105 to 777 of the family's 1533-position model. The record is from RNAcentral.
GGUGAGUAAUGUCUGGGAAACUGCCUGAUGGAGGGGGAUAACUACUGGAAACGGUAGCUAAUACCGCAUAACGUCUCAAGACCAAAGAGGGGGACCUUCGGGCCUCUUGCCAUCAGAUGUGCCCAGAUGGGAUUAGCUAGUAGGUGGGGUAAUGGCUCACCUAGGCGACGAUCCCUAGCUGGUCUGAGAGGAUGACCAGCCACACUGGAACUGAGACACGGUCCAGACUCCUACGGGAGGCAGCAGUGGGGAAUAUUGCACAAUGGGCGCAAGCCUGAUGCAGCCAUGCCGCGUGUGUGAAGAAGGCCUUCGGGUUGUAAAGCACUUUCAGCGAGGAGGAAGGUGGUGAACUUAAUACGUUCAUCAAUUGACGUUACUCGCAGAAGAAGCACCGGCUAACUCCGUGCCAGCAGCCGCGGUAAUACGGAGGGUGCAAGCGUUAAUCGGAAUUACUGGGCGUAAAGCGCACGCAGGCGGUUUGUUAAGUCAGAUGUGAAAUCCCCGGGCUCAACCUGGGAACUGCAUUUGAAACUGGCAAGCUAGAGUCUCGUAGAGGGGGGUAGAAUUCCAGGUGUAGCGGUGAAAUGCGUAGAGAUCUGGAGGAAUACCGGUGGCGAAGGCGGCCCCCUGGACUAAGACUGACGCUCAUGUGCGAAAGCGUGGGGAGCAAACAGGA